Molecule: ribosomal RNA, 116 nt
Filed under: Pteropus alecto (black flying fox)
Lineage: Eukaryota; Metazoa; Chordata; Mammalia; Chiroptera; Pteropodidae
Source: RNAcentral
GUCUAUGGCCAUGCCACCCUGAACAAACCUGAUGUCUGAUCUCGGAAGCUAAGCAGGGUCGGGCUUGGUUAGUACUUGGAUGGGAGAUCAACUAGGAAGACCAGGUGCUAUAGGCA